GUGCUGGAUUAUACGCGAGGGAUAUAACCAAGUCAGCUGAGUUCCCAAAAGACUGGCCGGAUCCUUGGCACAACUUCCAACUG
This 83-nucleotide microRNA precursor is filed under the name Schistosoma mansoni. RNAcentral's name for it is "microRNA sma-mir-8425 precursor". The record is from miRBase by way of RNAcentral. Lineage: Eukaryota; Metazoa; Platyhelminthes; Trematoda; Strigeidida; Schistosomatidae.